Long non-coding RNA from Gasterosteus aculeatus aculeatus (three-spined stickleback), 5512 nucleotides. Lineage: Eukaryota; Metazoa; Chordata; Actinopteri; Perciformes; Gasterosteidae. The record is from Ensembl.
UUUCAAUGUAAAUGUGUGUGCUUUUUGUAUAGAAAUGAAUGAGUGGAUCAGAUGCAUUGACCUCCUCUGUUAGACCCUGCAACGUGUGUUUGAGCACGCGCACGCACACACACACACACACACACACACACACACACACACACACACACACACACCCCGGCUUGCUUCCAUACUGCUGGUCUUUUGUGACCUUCCGUCUUGUAAAAAGAAGUGUGGUAAUCAGAAUAACUCUCCGUUGGUCCAUUUGAAAGAUCAUUUUGGAAGUCCUCACCACGGAGCUCUGGCUCUGGAGAAAGCCUCCCUGCUUGGCACACACACACACACACACACACACACACACACACACACACACACACACACACACACUUUUGUGCUGAGGUUACAAUCUGCAAACCUCAGCACAUUUUACCGCCAAAUUGUUCACUCUGCAGCAUUUAGCAUCUUGUUUGCAGAGAGCAACGAUUGGUCGGUCAAGAAAAGCCCUGCAGCAGCGUAUAGUCAAUUUCUAACUUUCAGCACAUUCUGCCUUGACCAACAUAUUGAAUCAAGUUCCCUUGAGUGUGGAACAUAACCAGGAAAUAGGAUUCCUGAUGUAUAUAUGUAUGAAUCAUUGGCCAUGUGUUCCAUAAAACAUGAACCCUCUGCUACAUAUCGACAAAAAAACUACGUGAACAGGAAAUCACGAGUGUGACACUCAAACUGUCCAGUCAGUACAGAGGACGUACGUGCACCUUUAUUAAAGUAAGACAGACGAAUACUGUUCAUAUCCCACACAAAUAGGGACAAACGGACAGGAAGCGCUCGUGCGGAUCGAUGCCUCUAAAUGUCUCAUUGUUUUCAAUGAGAAGAGGCAGAGUGCCCCCUGCGCAAUGUCACACACAGUGACACGUGCACGCCAACGCCAGCGCCGCCAUGAUGGCACCGCCGAGGAGCCGCGGACGUCAUUCAAUCUCCUCUCUUUCGUGGACGUCCCGCCCUCCCGUCUUUGGCAGCCCAAUUCACUUUUAAGGCCGAUCUCAGGGGGCUGAAGCGGUUUAUCUUUUGCAUCUUUGUGUCCUUUGGAGACCAAGGUUCAUUUUGAAAAACCCCUUGAAAAAAAACACAAUUUACUUCAUGUUGCUCUGUUGGUCCCUAGGAAGACACAUUUGAUCUCUUCUGGCAUUGGUCAAGGUUAGGGAAAGGUCCCCUCGGGGAUCGGAGACAGACACCGGUCUCCUGUAUCUGAGUGUGGCGUUCCGUUAAAUCAUCCAUCUGUUACCAGGUAGUGCUGCUUUUUAACUCUUGAGGUCACAAACGGCGUCUACAAACAGCCGAGCAUCUGGCGUUGCCGGGACGCGGCGGCGUAUAUGGAAAGGAUGCCGUCUUCCUCCAAGGUGCAUGUUCUUGCGUCCCUGCAGCUGAUUCCCUUAAGUGGUCCCCGAUAUAUAAGUGUUGGCAUCGGGUAGAGGGUCCGUCCUAGGAGGGACAUGGGAGGGUAAAGAGGGACACACAAGGUGUGUGUGUGUGUGUGUGUGUGUGAGCAGGUGAGAGACGUUAAAGUAAAAGGAUGCUGCUCUGACGUCAAACGUCUUUUCUUAGCACGCUCUCGUCCCUCAAGGACGAGGACAAGGACAUGCGCAGGUGGAGGGAGUCGGCGCCGCCUCAGGUGCACAGGUGACGUUUCAGCCGCGUGAGAGUCGCUUUCAUCCCGGCGCACUGGCAGCUGAAACUACCGGCGAGUCUGUGUCCCCCCCGGUAAGAUCAGACCCGAUGGACUCAUUGGAUCAGAUUAGUCCCUGAGCCCCCCGGCACCUCAUCGCCAGGGCUGUUACGCUCCUGCAUUUUACAUCUGUUUGCUAUGUACGAGGGGGAGUCAAUGGCUAUUAUUAAAUCAUCCUCCCUGAUUCGUGCUCCGCUGGGACGGAUCCCCGCGAAUCAAUUUACGGCGAGAAUUGAAAUAGUCUCAUUCCGGAGGGAAACCCCACGAGGCCCGACCGCGGCGCCGCAAUCCCUCUUCAGCGUCCGCUCAUCCCGUCGGUUCUUCCACGGGCCGGUCUGCGGUUUAGCCCGUGUUAAAGUCAACCGGGCCCCCGCCGGCCUGUCAGGCCUUGGAUUUCUUUGGAUUUGGAGACGACGGAUGAAGCAAAUGUCAAAGCGCGACCGAGCAGAACCUUAUAUUCUAAAACGACCAAAUCAAAAUAGGUCUCCUGGAAAUGUGACGACAGGAAUAAAGAGCUCAGGAGGGAGACGAAAGCAAGGGUGGAGGGAAGGAGGGGGGGAGGCUUUGAUGAAUAACCGCAGUACUGAUGCUGACAGCACACACUGAAGUGUGUGUGUGUGUGUGUGUGUGUGUGUGUCUCUAUCUCUGUCACACGUGAACACAGUGUCUGUCUGGGCUCGAUUCGUCGAUCUGGAUUCAUCUCUUGAGUUCUGGAUGGAAGAGCGUCUGCCGGGGUCCUCGCUCUCAUUUCAUCGUCUCUGUGUCUGUAUUUCUCUGCUGAGAGACACCAGCCGACAACGAGCGAAGGAGAACGUGGUCGUCUGUCGCCUGAUGUGUUCUACACGCAGGCCGCUUCACAAGGCGCCACUUAUUCCCCAGAGAAACACACACACACACACACACACAUCAGUGUCAACGUGCCCCCAACAAACAUCCAAACAGAAUCCUCAUCAUCACCAUCUCUCCUUCGUUCUUUCUCCUACACACAGUUUAAUGAUCCUUCUGUUCACUGUGCGAUCAUUUCGUUGGCGCAGCAGCAGCAGUGCAAAACUGUAUGGAUAUAAAUGACUAAUGCAUCAUAUUAACGGGCAGUCAGAGUGAUUUUUAGUGUGCUCAGGAGUCCAAAUCAUCCCCAUCAAAUCAUCAGGUUGUGUUUCAUUGCCGGUGUCUCAGCAAUUAAAUAUAAAGGCGGUAAAAAGUCACCCCCUCGUUUCUGGUACAAAGCUGCACUUGAAGCCAGCGCGUGCUUGAAUUGAAGGAAAUCACUCGUUGCAAGGGAGCAUUAUGGCAAGACAAAGUCUUGUGCUUGUGGGUGAUAAACAGGCAGAAAUGGAUGAAAAUGAGUGAGGUUCAGCUCUCUGUGGCGAUGCAACGAUCCUCUUCUUACUGCGCUUCUGCACACGGCCUCUAUAUUCGGCAGCAAGUUAUCAGAAAGGUUUAGCUCGGCGUCCAGAGGCAUGACUUAUUCACAACAACGGCCGAGUGAACCGCGUGUCCUCAUCAAAGCACAGCUGUCCCAGGUCUGCUCUCCCAUACUCUCCCUCUCUGUACAUCAAAACACCGAAAACUGCGUCAGUUUUGUCAACAGCAGUACUUUAGUGUAGAAGUACAGGGAAGCCAGAGACUGUUCGAUGACGGACCGCGGAGAGGCAAACCUCUGGGCGGGUUCGUCCUUCCCAAAAACCACAAAAAAACCUGUAAAGCGUAUAUUCAAAUCCACCAAAAUGACACCUGAAUUAUAUCUGUUAACUCCAAAAAGCGAAUUGUCUAUGUUUUUCAUUGAAAAACAAUGCAGUUGGAUCCUUCUGCACAAAUUAAACACGUCCACAUUACUUUCUGUUUGGUUCAUUCACCAUUGUGACACAGAAGAUAAUGAAAUAUACAUAAAAUAUAACUUCAUAAUCAUUAUUAUAUAGAUGCAUUCAACCGUCAAUCUAGUUACAGUACUUCAAAUACGGUUACACAUUAUUUUCCGUAAAAAAGUGUGAAUGUUAAUGGCACAGGGGGAAAAAGAGGCACACAUCAACCGAAAAUGAUCCUUUCUCUCUGUUUGAAAUGAAUAUUAAAUAUUAUAAACUCUUUGUGAACUGUGAACAUCUCACACAGGACGGGGUCCUCAACUAAGCACAGUAAUCGAGGGUACUUGCUAACUACCUGCGUACCAGCAAGGACCACAAAUGCAAACCUGACGGCAAGGGGAGAGAUAUUGGUGUGUCUUUCGAGGUCAAAGGUCAAUCUUCUCGGCCCCAUGUGGCCGGCGAGUGAGCCACGAGCGGUGACUCGUGUUCCCACGUCGUUACUUUAGAAUCAUUGCAAAGUGAUGAUUUGUAUCAUUAUAGAAAAACAGAUAUAUUGUUUUAGAAUUUAACCUCCAUCCAAGAUUUUAGUAAAUAGUAUUAAAAUAUUAUUAAAAAGAACAAGAACAAGAACUACAAGCAGUGUUGUUGUCUUUUGAUGCAACGGUUUCCGUGGCAACGGAAUGCAUCGCCCCUCAUCGGAUGCAGUCAUGUGUCUAUAAUGUAUAGAAGCCAAAUUCAUCCUUCGGUAAAACGUAACGUCUACGGUAACGUAUCGGAGGCAGACGUUUGUCUGUCUCGAGCUCCAUAGAGGAUCUCUGGCCAAAAGUAAACGCCACAGGAGUACGCCAUCAUUCUGAGCAAAAAUUAACCUUUGAAGAGUGAAUUAUAAGGACACAACUACAAAUAUGUUUUGAACCAGAUCCUGACGCUGCUGUACACUCUAGAUCCCCCUAACGUGCUCGAUGAAGAACUCAUUCAGGGUGUUGCCAGAGACGGUCACGAGCAAGUGGGCGCGCCUGCAAGUCAAAGUGCUGGUAAUGAGAAGCAGAAGCUGCAUCCUGGAGUUUUUGGGGGGAGUUUUAACGCAAUGGAUAAUUACACUGCAAUUAUGACACGGUGUGUGGAUGUGUUUCAUUGUGCUUGUGUGUGUGUGUGUGUGCUGCUGAAGCAAUCAUGUAAAACACGACUCAUUGGGGAUUUAUUAGCAAAGCUUGAACUCAAAUUUCCAUCAACCAUCAGGUGGUGAAAUGAAGCACGCACUCUUCCGCCCCGAGGUCAUUCAUUUAAUCAAAGAGGACAAAUUCAGCACAUGUUCAGCUCAUGUUUUACAUGUUGGUGUUCUACUCGCAUGCUGACUUCUCUGCUCUGAUUGGUCGUCCUUGUUCGAGUGUGUUUCUAUCAUGAUGUUUAGAAGCACUUUUAUUAUGAGGAAUAACCAACAGUGAUUCAAUGUGUGUUGAAACACCUUCAAAAUACGUGAAAGAAUAUAGUAUAGUUGAUAUUGUCAUCAAUUAGUCGAAUGAUGUUUGACUGAAACAUACACGUGAUUUAUUGCGCGUUUACCUUUAGAAUGAAAUAACACUUUCAUAGUAAUAUAGUUCAUUGGACUUUUUAUUCUUAACCAUCUGCGUGCAAUGUUUUUUUUUCAUAUCACCUGUUUUGAAAAGAGUAUGUUUGUUUUAUUCAUCUCACACCACAAGAUGAGUAAUUGCUUCAAAUUUAUAAAAAUCCUCCCCACAAAAUAAAGCUCCCCAACACAGAAACGUUCGUUCGAUACACACGAGGAAAAGGUAGCAAAGGCAAACAUUUUAUCUUUAAUUUAUCCAGAUAGAGUUACAAUACCAGCACCAUCACCAACAAAACACUAACUAUAUAUAUGAAAACAGGCCGUACGAGCUCUAAAGUUACAAGCAGCCAGAUAAUAUUUUGAGCGGAUUGAAGGCGAUGAAAUCAAACACGGUAAAAUGAUCCUUUGUGUUACACAGCAUGCAACAUAUUAACACACAAAAUCCAU